GCUCGUUCUAGGUACUUUUCUUUUUUCCGAUUCUCUCUUUAUUUUAACGUCGAUGCCCUUUCUCUCCUUCCUGGUUUCUGUAACCGUGCUGAAACGAAAUAAAUUUUCUGACCUCGGAUCAUUGUUUUCCUGUUUGUUUGUCGGUAAAUUAUCAGGAAAUCGCUUUCCUUUUCCGUUCUCUUGGCUUUUGUUUGAUCAUUUGCUCCUAAUGAAUGAUCAUCCUUUCUUUUCAGGUCUAUUCAUCUACCAAAAUUCGAAGGUUAAUGGCUCACUUUCACAAUGAUGAUCUCGAAUACGUUGGCGAUGAUUAUUACGACAUCGUUGAUUUCGAAGAUAACCCUCUCCUCGAACACGAACCUCGAAGAGACGCCGAUUUGGAUUCCAUAGACUCGGACUUUGAAGACGAUCCAGAGUCGAGUAAACCAAAGACUGAUACCUCUGCUUUGGAGGCUAGAAAUGGGAAGGACAUACAGGGAAUUCCCUGGGAGAGACUUAAUUUCACUAGAGAUAAUUACCGCGAGACUAGAUUAAAGCAGUACAGGAACUACGAGAACCUCUCUCGCUC
Molecule: unclassified non-coding RNA, 565 nt
Filed under: Hevea brasiliensis (rubber tree)
Lineage: Eukaryota; Viridiplantae; Streptophyta; Magnoliopsida; Malpighiales; Euphorbiaceae
Source: RNAcentral